CCUACGGGUGGCAGCAGUAGGGAAUCUUCCACAAUGGGCGAAAGCCUGAUGGAGCAACGCCGCGUGGGUGAAGAAGGUCUUCGGAUCGUAAAACCCUGUUGUUAGAGAAGAAAGUGGGUGAGAGUAACUGUUUACGUUUCGACGGUAUCUAACCAGAAAGCCACGGUCAACUACGUGCCAGCAGCCGCGGUAAUACGUAGGUGGCUAGCGUUAUCCGGAUUUGUUGGGCGUAAAGGGAACGCAGACGGGCUUUUAAGUCUGAUGUGAAAGGCUUCGGCUUAACCGGAGUAGUGCAUUGGAAACUGGGAGACUUGAGUGCAGAAGAGGUAGGUGGAACUCCAGGUGUAGCGGUGAAAUGCGUAGAUAUAAGGAAGAACACCGGUGGCGAAGGCGGCUCUCUGAUCUGUAACUGACGCUGAGGUUCGAAAGCGUGGGUAGCAAACAGGAUUAGAUACCCCAGUAGUC
This 465-nucleotide ribosomal RNA is filed under the name uncultured bacterium. RNAcentral describes it as "partial 16S ribosomal RNA". It matches the Rfam family "Bacterial small subunit ribosomal RNA", at positions 338 to 795 of the family's 1533-position model. The record is from RNAcentral.